GCUUAUAGACCAGACCUGUCACAUAUUUUCAGUAACAGGCAGCCAUAGCAAUGACCAUAAGAGUCUCAGAUCAUUAAGCAAUGUCUCACCGUGAUGUCAUGCAUUGAUGUACAGAGUUGUAAUCCUUUCAAAACAGACAGAUUGUCAGCGUGAUAAAGUGGAUAUAAACAAGCUUCUGAACAGGGAUGACUAAAGCUUUGGAAAAAUUCAUUUGCCUGAAAAAGGAGGAAAAAGGGUCCUAACACCAUGACCACCGGGCAGUACCAACCCGGCUAGAAUAACCAAAAGAUUAAUUUCCAUAUACCAGAUGGGAAACAGUCCAUUUUAAAAAACUGACGUGGGCCCAAGCAUUUCAGAGGCCAAUCCAAACUUCAGGAGCUCUCAGAUCCAGUUGCCAUUAUGGGUAUUGAUCCCACUCCCACUAAAAUCCGGGGUAGUGUUGGCAUAAACUUCAGAGGGUGCAGUAUCAGAAGGGAGCCCGAGUUAAGAUUCAUGAUCAUACCUACAUUUUUCUAAAGUCUGGGGACAUUUGCUAUCAAGGCUUUGGUUGGGACCAUCUCGAAAACUUUCACCAGCUAUCUCAUGAAACCAGCAGUACUCCAUUUAAAUCAACCAGGAAAAAAAAUGGAAAUCAAAGCAAACAGGUAGGAUUUCCAGUCCAACGACGGUCCCAACUCAUUGACUUUGGCCUACUGAGCACCCUACAACUGAUGAGUGACCUCUGGUAACACUGGUCUACGAUUUUUUAGAAGUCAUCUGCUUCAGAGAUAAAAUGUGCUAUUUAUUAUGUAUUUUGAUGUGCUGAAUUCAAAUAUGACAAUUAAAACAACUGAUUGGCUACUGUUUCUAAGAUAUUUAAGUUUUUACA
Chrysemys picta bellii (western painted turtle) is the source of this 868-nucleotide long non-coding RNA. RefSeq lists it as uncharacterized. The record is from RefSeq and is a predicted model, not a curated record. NCBI's taxonomy places the organism in Eukaryota, Metazoa, Chordata, Testudines, Emydidae.